AACCUGCCUCACACUGGGGGACAACAGUUAGAAAUGACUGCUAAUACCGCAUAAGCGCACAGGACCGCAUGGUCCGGUGUGAAAAACUCCGGUGGUGUGAGAUGGACCCGCGUUUGAUUAGCUAGUUGGUGGGGUAACGGCCUACCAAGGCGACGAUCAAUAGCCGACCUGAGAGGGUGACCGGCCACAUUGGGACUGAGACACGGCCCAA
This 211-nucleotide ribosomal RNA is filed under the name uncultured bacterium. RNAcentral's name for it is "partial 16S ribosomal RNA". It matches the Rfam family "Bacterial small subunit ribosomal RNA", at positions 123 to 334 of the family's 1533-position model. The record is from RNAcentral.